This 460-nucleotide ribosomal RNA is filed under the name uncultured bacterium. Its description in RNAcentral is "partial 16S ribosomal RNA". It matches the Rfam family "Bacterial small subunit ribosomal RNA", at positions 338 to 795 of the family's 1533-position model. The record is from RNAcentral.
CCUACGGGAGGCAGCAGUGAGGAAUAUUGGUCAAUGGACGCAAGUCUGAACCAGUCAUGCCGCGUGAAGGAAGACGGCUCUAUGAGUUGUAAACUGCUUUUGUACGAGGGAAAACGCAGGUAAGCGACUCUGUCUGAUAGUAUCGUACGAAUAAGGAUCGGCUAACUCCGCGCCAGCAGCCGCGGUAAUACGGAGGAUUCAAGCGUUAUCCGGAUUUAUUGGGUUUAAAGGGUGCGUAGGCGGUCGGAUAAGUUAGAGGUGAAAUCCCGAGGCUCAACUUCGGAAUUGCAUCUGAUACUGUUCAGCUUGAGAGUAGUAGCGGUAGGCGGAAUGUAUGGUGUAGCGGUGGAAUGCUUAGAGAUCAUACAGAACACCAAUUGCGAAGGCAGCUUACCAGGCUACUUCUGACGUUGAGGCACGAAAGCAUGGGGAGCAAACAGGAUUAGAUACCCGUGUAGUC